UGUCGCGCUACCAUGCAGUCGAGCGGAGCCAGGGCUUGUGUCUCGCAUUCGACGACUGACGGAUGAGUGAUGCCUGUGAGUCUGCCUGGCUGUGGGGGGGGGCUUUUUACUGGGAACGGUAGUACCGCAUACAUCCUACCGCAGAAAGCAGGAGGGCUUCCUUCCUUGCUCUUGCCAAUGAAUGUACGUCGGAUUAACUAGUUGGUGAGGUAAUGACUCACUCACGUAACCAUCCAUCCCUGGCUGGACAGAAUGAACGACCACACUGGAACUGACUGACACUCCAUACUCACUCCUACGGCAGGCAUGGGGAAUAUUGAUUGAUGAAUGGGCGCCUGAUCCAUCCAUGCCUGCCGUGUGUAGAAAGACUUCCUUUUGUUUGGCACUUACUUUUGGGAGGAAGGAUUGUGUAUUAAUACUCUGCAAUUUUGACGUUACCUACCGAAUAAACACCGGCUAACUCUGUGCCAGCAGCCGCGGUAAUACAUAGGGUGCAAGCGUUAAUCGGAAUUACUUACUGGUAAAGCGCGCGUAGGUGGUUCGUUAAGUUGGAUGUGAAAUCCCCGGCCUCAACCUGGGAACUGCAUCCUAAACUGGUGAGCUACUAUAUGGUUGAGGGUGGUGGAAUUUCUUGUGUAGUAGUGAAAUGCUGCGAUAUAGAUAAGGAACAAUACUGGCGAAGGCGACCACCUGGACUGCUACUGAUGCUGAUGUGCUGAAACAUCGUGAGCAAAAAAGAUGAUAUAAUAUGCUGGUCCACCCCGUAAACAACGACGACUACCCGUUGGGAGCCUUGAUGUCUUAUGGGUUCAGCUAAUAAAUCAUUUUGACCACCUGGUGAGUAGUGCCGGCCAGGUUAAUACAACCUAUGAUGUAUUGGGGGCCGCUCCCACCAGCGGAGCAUGAUGGUUUUAUUACUUAGCUGCACGAAGAAGCAUUAUUACGUACUUGUCGUCAUACUGAACUUUUAGAGAUGAAGUGUUGGCGUUCUGCGAGCAUUUAUGACAGAAGCUGCUGGACUGCGGUCAGCUCCUGUGUGAGA
This 1042-nucleotide ribosomal RNA is filed under the name Pseudomonas sp. RNAcentral describes it as "bacterial SSU rRNA". It matches the Rfam family "Bacterial small subunit ribosomal RNA", at positions 40 to 1072 of the family's 1533-position model. The record is from RNAcentral. Lineage: Bacteria; Pseudomonadati; Pseudomonadota; Gammaproteobacteria; Pseudomonadales; Pseudomonadaceae.